RNAcentral lists this unclassified non-coding RNA (262 nucleotides) under fungal sp. Its description in RNAcentral is "partial internal transcribed spacer region". The stretch from base 1 to 46 matches the Rfam family "Eukaryotic small subunit ribosomal RNA", at positions 1786 to 1831 of the family's 1831-position model. The record is from RNAcentral. Lineage: Eukaryota; Fungi.
AAGUCGUAACAAGGUAACCGUAGGUGAACCUGCGGUUGGAUCAUUACAAAAUUGGUUUCAUACCAAACUUUUUGUGCACUAUAUCUGUCUCUGGUGGCUCUCGUGCUGAGAACUUCCAACGGUUCUUGGCCUGCUUAAUUGCUGGGUCACCAACGGUGGGCUAUCGUCUGGUAGCUCAUGAACACACCUUUUUUACUUAUUGUCUGAAACUUCACAUUGGUGAAUUUGAAAACAACUUUUGACAACGGAUCUCUUGGCUCUC